This is a long non-coding RNA of Dermochelys coriacea (leatherback sea turtle), 1855 nucleotides long. RefSeq lists it as uncharacterized. The record is from RefSeq and is a predicted model, not a curated record. The transcript has 4 exons. Lineage: Eukaryota; Metazoa; Chordata; Testudines; Dermochelyidae.
ACCCAGGGCCAGAGCCUGCAGGGUCUGAGUCACAACCUGAAGUCAGUGAGAGUUGAGGGCUUUCUAUACAUCAGAAGAGGUGACCAGGUCUUUGCAGGAUCAGGCCCUAAGGGAGAAAGUUCUGGAAGCUGUUUUGGGCUAUGACAGGGAGCAGAAAUCAGGGUUGGGGCAGGGUGAUAUGUUGUAAAAUUUAACUGCAAGGUUUUACCUGGCCUAUAUGUUUCUUGUUUGUACUUUGCCAAAAGAGGUGAAUUAGGUGUAAUUUUAAAGGAGGGAGGAGGGGCACAUCCCCCUUCAGCCUUGGGGAAGAAACAACAAAUAUUCCUCAGCCUCCAACUUUCAGCUGACUGGAGGGGAGGAAAGCAAGGCUGCAGAGUGGGAAGCACAGGUUUCCAGGCCUCUAAGAGUCACUUUGAUAUUCAGUCUGACAAAUGGGUGUGUGUUCUGUAUGAGGACAGCUGAAACAAGAUUCAAAGCCUAGAAACCAAGAUGGAAACCCACCAAGCUCACCUGAAUGGCAGUAUGGAUAACAGCUAGACCCCCAGAAAUGGAUAUUCCACUAACUUCAAAGGAGUAUUGAGAAUCUGUACCAGCCUCAGCAGCUUGUUGUGUAGUUCCAGCUGUGAUGUAGACACUGGAUGCUGAAUUUAGACCAUGAAGUCAUUUCCUAUAAGCCAUCAAGCAGACAUCAGAUGGCAACAAGAGCUGGUCAGAAAAUGGGGAUGGGGAAAUGAGAACCUUUGUUUUAGAGCUGAUCAAAGCCCAAAAGAAAAAAAACAUUCAUGAAAAUUGUGUUGGCCAUUUUUCCUGAUUUUUCAUCAAAAUUUGGCCUAUCUGAGCAAUGAACUUCAUUACCUGCAAAUGAAUGCUGAGUCUGGCAAGAGGGACCCCAUGCCCAGAAGUGAAGAUGACAGGGACACAGGACCUUUUUUCUCGGGAAGGAGGAAGAUGUUUUCUAUACAUUAAUUCAACCCUCCCCAUACCAGUGUAUAUUAGGUCCAGUUGUCUGUGGGGGAGGCCGCUAACAAUGGAGCGGAGUGACUCAUUCACAAUGAAUAAAUGGUCUGACUAAUUUAACUUGUUUUUCUGCUCAUGCUUAUUCCAUGAACAAAUUACCAUUUCCUCAGCUUUAUUCAUUAUUUUGAUUUAUCCUGCAGAUUUGGUGUUGGUUUUUUUUUUAAACUCUCUUCAACUUUCGUUUACUCUAUGGCUUGAUUGUGAACUGCUUGCUGAGAGUUCGAAAAGGGAGCUGGGUUCUAGCUCAGGUUAUGACCGAUCAGAUUACUCAGGGAUACUAGCGCGACCAAAAGGAAAACAAGUGCUGAGUGAAUAUUAGUAUGUGUAUUUUUUUGCUGUAUCCACAGAUUUUAAUGCCAAAACGGACAUUAGAUCAUCUAGACUGAUCUCCUGGAGAACAUAGGCAAUAGAAUUUCAUCCAGAUACUCCUGUAUUGAGCCCAAUAAUUUGUAGUUGCCUAAAGCAUAUCUAAAUCAAUCGAUAUCAUAUCUGCCCGACUCUGGCUAACAACAACGGAUGUGGAGAGCAUAUGUGGGAUGACAUCAGCUGGUGAAGCACUAGGCUUUAGCCCUCACUAAAAAUAUAGUGGGGGAAAAGAGAAACCAAGGAGAAUGUUUAGGGCUGUGUUAGGACAAGAUCCUUAGGAUCCAGACCCCCACAGUUAGAGGGGCCUAGACAUCACAAUGAGUCAGAGGCAGAGCAUCAGGUAGUGGUGCAUUGUACAGCUGGGUGAUACCAGCAGCUGUCUGCUGGGGUGGUCUGGGUUGUGCUGCUUCACUUGGCAAGAAGAUCAAGGGCUCAGAAAUGUGGGGGAGACAAGAGUCCAUCCUGGAGGGCU